GGAGGAUGCGAGCGUUAUCCGGAUUUAUUGGGUUUAAAGGGUGCGUAGGCGGUUUUUUAAGUUAGUGGUUAAACGUCGGGGCUUCACCUUGAUUUGCCAUUAAUACUGUAAGACUCGAGUUCAGACGAGGUAGGCGGAAUAAGUUAAGUAGCGGUGAAAUGCUUAGAUAUAACUUAGAACUCCGAUAGCGAAGGCAGCUUACCAGACUGCGACUGACGCUGAAGCACGAGAGCGUGGGUAGCGAAC
RNAcentral lists this ribosomal RNA (246 nucleotides) under uncultured bacterium. RNAcentral describes it as "partial 16S ribosomal RNA". It matches the Rfam family "Bacterial small subunit ribosomal RNA", at positions 527 to 773 of the family's 1533-position model. The record is from RNAcentral.